AGGGCACCACCAGGAGUGGAGCCUGCGGCUUAAUUUGACUCAACACGGGAAAACUUACCCGGCCCGGACACUGGAAGGAUUGACAGAUUGAGAGCUCUUUCUUGAUUCAGUGGGUGGUGGUGCAUGGCCGUUCUUAGUUGGUGGAGCGAUUUGUCUGGUUAAUUCCGAUAACGAACGAGACUCUAGCCUACUAAAUAGACCAGAGGCUUCUUAAAACACGUCUCUGGCUGCUUCUUAGAGGGACAGGCGGCGAUUCAACCGCACGAAACAAAGCAAUAACAGGUCUGUGAUGCCCUUAGAUGUCCGGGGCCGCACGCGCGCUACACUGAAGUGAUCAGCGUGCUUUUUGUACCCUGCUCUGCCAAGAGUGGGUAACCCAAUGAACCUUCUUCGUGAUUGGGAUAGGGGAUUGUAAUUAUUCCCCUUGAACGAGGAAUUCCCAGUAAGCGCGAGUCAUAAGCUCGCGUUGAUUACGUCCCUGCCCUUUGUACACACCGCCCGUCGCUACUACCGAUUGAA
This 519-nucleotide ribosomal RNA is filed under the name uncultured eukaryote. RNAcentral's name for it is "SSU rRNA". It matches the Rfam family "Eukaryotic small subunit ribosomal RNA", at positions 1161 to 1693 of the family's 1831-position model. The record is from RNAcentral.